Molecule: ribosomal RNA, 406 nt
Filed under: uncultured bacterium
Lineage: Bacteria
Description: partial 16S ribosomal RNA
Rfam family: Bacterial small subunit ribosomal RNA
Source: RNAcentral
AUUGAACGCUGGCGGCAGGCCUAACACAUGCAAGUCGAACGAGUGGCGGACGGGUGAGUAAUGUCGGGGAAACUGCCCGAUGGAGGGGGAUAACUACUGGAAACGGUAGCUAAUACCGCAUACCAUCGGAUGUGCCCAGAUGGGAUUAGCUAGUAGGUGGGGUAACGGUUCACCUAGGCGACGAUCCCUAGCUGGUCUGAGAGGGUGACGACCCAAACGGGAGAUGAGACACGGUGAAAGCGCCUACGAUAGGGGGCAGUGGGGAAUAUUGCACAAUGGCCGAAAGCCUGAUGAAGCGAUGGCGCGCGUAUGAGGAGGGCAUGAGGGUUUUAAAGUACUUUCAGUGAGUAGGCGUUAGUUGCAGAAGAAGCACCGGCUGACUCCGUGCCAGCAGCCGCGGUAAUUC